Cyprinus carpio (common carp) is the source of this 1546-nucleotide long non-coding RNA. RefSeq lists it as uncharacterized. Lineage: Eukaryota; Metazoa; Chordata; Actinopteri; Cypriniformes; Cyprinidae. The record is from RefSeq and is a predicted model, not a curated record. The transcript is spliced from 3 exons.
ACUGACCCUGAAACGUUUGAAUGGUAGUGUGUAAAGAAAUAAUUUAAGACCUGUUUGAGUUUCAGUAGAGGUCAAGGAGUUCACUAAGGGAGGUGUGUCACCUCUGUUUUGUGAGAACUUGAGAAGAGCAGUAACACAAGUAGGUAUUUCACAUCUUACUUAACCAGUUGAACACUUUUGCUCAGGUGUCUUUUUACCUCACACAUUCCUAUUCUUUGCAGAAAAAACACUUUGUUGGGAAAGCCAGUCAUUUUUUGAUGCCCCGGGGCACAUGAAGGGUCAGGGGGUUAGUUAGGUGCCGUUCUCCCAGCAGUGGUUUCAGUGAAAACCUGGAGUCUCCCAUUUGUUGUACAGACCUCUUGCCAUUUAGCCACCUGCCUCCAAUAAAGAAAAGCAAGCAGCCGGCAAACUUCAGCACUUGCCUCGGGCAGUGUUAUUGAUCGGGUGGGGGGAAGUUCUUUCCCUCCUCUCCUUCUGAUGAAGGCCGGACUUUGGUCUGAGCUGCAUUCCUGGGUUCUGUUCAGCUCGGAGGCAGAAGGGAGGGAGGAUGUGGAGGGGAGGAGGGACCCAGGGGCUGGAAAUCACUUGUCAUGUGCGUAUAAAAGUGUGCCUUUCGUUUCAGAGCAUGCUCACAGAGGCACGCUCAGCUCCCACCAAAUCCAGCCCCCAAAUUUGAACGGGAGGGAGGGGAAGUUACAGCGCUGACUCUUGUGUUGUUGUACUCUGUGUCUGUUUGGCUCCCACCCUGCGUGGCUCCUUCUGCACCUAUGGCUCUACGGUUGAAAAGGUGAACGCGGAUUUCUCUGGAAAAGAUGGACGGCAUUGACAGGAAGCCAUGUGAGAUGACUGGAGAGGAGAAGAACAAGUAUGGGGCCCUUUGUUACCAUGCUGAGAGAGACUGAUCGGGGGUUAAUUGAAAUAUGCACCCACAAGAUUUGUGGCACGAAGUACAAAGUCAUCAUUCAAAUGUAAGUAUGUGGGUUUUUUUUUCUGUGCACAUCCAUUACUGAUAUUUGCAGGCAUCAAUUGGAUGCCUUUAAUAGCUGCUUGUGUAAACAAAUAUUUGGCACAUGGAGAAAAUACAAAACUUGCGUUUGCCUGCAGCUGUUUUUAUUCUCUACUCAUCAGCCUUGAAACACAGCAGCUGACCCACCACCAGCUGCUCAACACACACACACACACACACACACACACACACACACACACACACGUACGCUGACAUACAAACUUAAAGACUGACUAACCAAAUUGAAGUCUCUACAGAAAUCAGAGUUGUAUUGAUGUGAAAAAUAGCAAUCCACCACCAGAAGUGCUGAGGUACAGGUAACAAAAAAUCUUAGUCACUUUAUAUUUCAGAAUUGUGACAUUAUAUUUCACACUGGGACAUAUUUCACAAUAUGAUCUUACAAUCACCUGUAUAACUGUUUCAUGUAUAACUGAUAAUAUUAAGAAAUUCUUGUUGAAAAGUCCAGCAUAUGCUGGUUAGGUAUGUUUUGAAGCAUGGCUGCUGGUUUGAGCUGAUUUAAGCUGGUCCUGAGCAGGAGCU